AAUAGAUACCCCGGUAGUCCACGCCGUAAACGAUGGAUACUAGCUGUUGGAGGUAUCGACCCCUUCAGUAGCGAAGCUAACGCGUUAAGUAUCCCGCCUGUGGAGUACGGUCGCAAGACUAAAACAUAAAGGAAUUGACGGGGACCCGCACAAGCGGUGGAUCAUGUUCUUUAAUUCGAUGCUAAACGAAGAACCUUACCAGGGCUUGACAUCCCGAGAAUUUCUCCGAAAGGAGAGAGUGCUUUUAGAACUCGGUGACAGAUGUUGCAUGGCCGUCGUCAGCUCGUGUCGUGAGAUGUUUGGUUAAGUCCAUCAACGAGCGCAACCCUUGUGAAUAGUUGUAUCUUUCUAUUCAGACUGCCCCGGCAACGGGGAGGAAGGAGGGGAUGAUGGUCAGGUCAGUAUUACUCUUACGUCCUGGGCUAGAAACGUGAUACAAUGGCAGGUACAAUGCGCAGCGAAGCCGCGAGGUGAAGCAAAUCGCAUCAAAGCCUGUCCCAGUUCGGAUUGGAGGCUGAAACUCGCCUCC
This 529-nucleotide ribosomal RNA is filed under the name uncultured bacterium. RNAcentral describes it as "bacterial SSU rRNA". It matches the Rfam family "Bacterial small subunit ribosomal RNA", at positions 777 to 1319 of the family's 1533-position model. The record is from RNAcentral.